GAUGAACGCUGGCGGCGUGCCUAAUACAUGCAAGUCGAGCGAACAGACGAGGAGCUUGCUCCUCUGACGUUAGCGGCGGACGGGUGAGUAACACGUGGAUAACCUACCUAUAAGACUGGGAUAACUUUGGGAAACCGGAGCUAAUACCGGAUAAUAUAUUGAACCGCAUGGUUCAAUAGUGAAAGACGGUUUUGCUUUCACUUAUAGAUGGAUCCGCGCCGCAUUAGCUAGUUGGUAAGGUAACGGCUUACCAAGGCAACGAUGCGUAGCCGACCUGAGAGGGUGAUCGGCCACACUGGAACUGAGACACGGUCCAGACUCCUACGGGAGGCAGCAGUAGGGAAUCUUCCGCAAUGGGCGAAAGCUUGACGGAGCAACGCCGCGUGAGUGAUGAAGGCCUUCGGAUCGUAAAACUCUGUUAUUAGGGAAGAACAAAUGUGUAAGUAACUAUGCACGUCUUGACGGUACCUAAUCAGAAAGCCACGGCUAACUACGUG
RNAcentral lists this ribosomal RNA (497 nucleotides) under uncultured bacterium. RNAcentral describes it as "partial 16S ribosomal RNA". It matches the Rfam family "Bacterial small subunit ribosomal RNA", at positions 28 to 507 of the family's 1533-position model. The record is from RNAcentral.